GACGAACGCUGGCGGCGUGCUUAACACAUGCAAGUCGAACGGAAAGGCCCUGCUUUUGUGGGGUGCUCGAGUGGCGAACGGGUGAGUAACACGUGAGUAACCUGCCCUUGACUUUGGGAUAACUUCAGGAAACUGGGGCUAAUACCGGAUAGGAGCUCCUGCUGCAUGGUGGGGGUUGGAAAGUUUCGGCGGUUGGGGAUGGACUCGCGGCUUAUCAGCUUGUUGGUGGGGUAGUGGCUUACCAAGGCUUUGACGGGUAGCCGGCCUGAGAGGGUGACCGGCGACAUUGGGACUGAGAUACGGCCCAGAAUCCUACGGGAGGCAGCAGUGGGGAAUAUUGCACAAUGGGCGGAAGCCUGAUGCAGCAACGCCGCGUGCGGGAUGACGGCCUUCGGGUUGUAAACCGCUUUCGCCUGUGAUGAAGCGUGAGUGACGGUAAUGGGUAAAGAAGCACCGGCUAACUACGUG
This 468-nucleotide ribosomal RNA is filed under the name uncultured bacterium. RNAcentral's name for it is "partial 16S ribosomal RNA". It matches the Rfam family "Bacterial small subunit ribosomal RNA", at positions 28 to 507 of the family's 1533-position model. The record is from RNAcentral.